Molecule: ribosomal RNA, 900 nt
Filed under: Triticum aestivum (bread wheat)
Lineage: Eukaryota; Viridiplantae; Streptophyta; Magnoliopsida; Poales; Poaceae
Description: partial small subunit ribosomal RNA
Source: RNAcentral
AUGUCGUCGACCACUGCACUACCUAACAAAGCCGUGGAAACGUGUUGCCGGCAAGAAAAAUGCGCACGCAUCGCCGGGACCGCCAUCGACCCUAACUGGACGGAUUGGGCGGACCUGAUCGCCGGGCCGGCAGGCCUGAUCGCCGAGCGUGUCCUCGCGGAUGACGUUGCCGACUACCUCCGCUUCCGCGCGGUGUGCCGCACAUGGCGGCGAUGCACCGCGUCCCCGCACGCGCAUGACAGCCUGGACCGCCGGUUCCACCCCCGGCGGUGGAUCAUGCUCGCACAGACCCUCGGCGCCAUCCGGAAGCGCCGUGACUUUCUAAACAUCUCGACCGGGGAGCGCAUCCGGGUGAACCUGCCGGAGCUCCGCUACCAGUACGUGUUCAGGGCCACCUCUGAUGGCGGCCUCAUCGUGCUGUGCGACAAGCGCACCUACGUCGUCCGCCUCCUCAACCCGCUCACCCGGCAGCUGACCACCCUCCCGGCCGCGAUCAGGCAGCAGUACACUGGGAGCACCCAAAGACGUAAUGGCAACGAUAAGCAGUGGACGCGGUUGCACACCGGCCACAUCAUUACAACCUUGCCAUUCGCGGGCUGCUUCUACUGCCUCACCGAGACAGCCCUCAUGGGGGCGGACACGACCGCGUCCACAAACCCGCAGCUGGCAGUGGCGUCCGAACUGGGUGAUAUGGGUUCUGCGCGGUAUGAUCAAACCGUGAAAUUAGUGGACAACGACGGGGAACUAGUUCUUGUGUGUCGGAUCAUGCGUGACAAUAACAACACUUUCCGGAAAGGUUAUGAGGUGUACCGGGUGGAUCUGGAGGCAGGAAUCACCCUACCGAUGCAGCAAGGAAUCGGUGGGCGCGCCUUGUUUGCUAUCCAAUCAUGUUCGUGCUGA